AUAAGGAGUAACAAAUACUCUAUGUAGAUAAGAUUUUCAAUAAAUUAUAUAGUAACGGAGACAGACAACAGUGGGGCUUUUCCAGUGUUCAAGGUAGUUUAAAUUAAUCUUUUAAAUGGACCAUUUCAGUGGAUAUGCAUUACUUCAUAUGGGAAAAUGUUCAUUUUUGGUUACUUUGUUGUGUUUGAUCAUAGUUUCCACUGUAGAAAACAAAUUAUAUUGUCUAUAUUUUACUGUAUCCUACUGUUUUUAUUCCUUUGGUACAAAGCUUGACUCUCAAUCUGUAUUCAUAAUGGGUGAAAUACUGAAAGUGAACAGGAUUUUAUUGUCAUAUUCAACCUUUUAGCAUUCUUCGCACCGUACCAUGGGACCGAUGGACUAUCAAUAAAAAUAAAUGAGGCUGUACUAUGUCCUUUGUGCAAGCUUAAACAAAGCGCUUAUAAUUGCCUUGUCAUGCAUCCAAGGUUGACUCCCUGUACAUUUUGGCCUGGCUGGUGCUCCAACCAGUCAGAUAUCAUUCCUGCAUCAGGCACAGUGAGCAAGUAAGUGCCCCCUGGCCAAACGGCCCAUCUCACUUUUAAACACACUCAAGGAGAUUUUUUUGGGGCACCUGUGGUGUCAUGUUCGAACCUCUGCAAUGAGUAGUGUGUGAUAAUUAAAAUGCUUCCUGGUUCUAUUAGUUCUGCAAAGUGGGAAAAAAAGGGAGGUGAAUAUGUGAAUUAAAAUCAACUUAUUAGUAAGCGUGGAAGGGUGUAGCUCAAUCUGAUGGAUUGUUUGUCACUGGAGGACAACUAACCUGUGUUGUGUUUAAAGAAUACAAACUUGAAACUGUCCACGUCUUAGCCGUUCACUGACAUUUAAGGUGUAAUUUACUUAAAUAAUUUCCUUGUAGUUCCCCUGAGUGCUUACCGGUUAUUCCUGAAGAGGCACCUUUGGACUUUUUUGGCCUCAUAGCUUUAAAAAAAACCAAUAGAUCAAGUUGAAGGUCUAUUUAUUUGGCUCCAAAGAACACAGAAAGCCUUUUUUUUUUUUUUUUUGGUGCAUUUACAUAAUGUCUGUAUGGCGUGAAAGACAAGGAGAGAGGUAGGGGAGGUGGGUGUGCACCUCCAGUGGGUGUGUCACCCGUCAUGUCUCAACACGGCGUGCUGGGCUUGAUAGACAGCUGCACUCACACCUGAGUAGCCAAGGUGAGCGACACGAGUGAAAAACUCACCUGUGACACUCCACCAACUUGCUGGCUUCUUCUCGGUCAUCACCGGAGCAGGUAGUGUUUCACAGCUGUUCUGUUGCCCGCACCGCUAGAAACUUUGCCUGGGAAUUUUUCACCUCAAACAUUUCAGUCAUUGUUUCUGGUCGUGUGUGCAACGUGCAUCCAAGCCCGCAGGAAACGUGUGUAUUUUUUUUUGUUUGAUUAUUGAGAAACUGAAGCGUUUCAGGCCAGGAUGCAUGUAACUGUUGCUAAGUGCAUUUCAAUUGACUCUAACCGGAAACACACCAGUAAAUCUUUAUAUUUUUCUACAAUCAAACCUUGCAGUUUGGUGGUGACAUAAGGCCACAUUGUGCAUGGUAGUGGUGUUGCCACAUGUAGACUCCGUGUGAAUAUGUGUGGUAUGUUGGUGAACCAGCUUCACUCGAUGAUGAUGAUGAUGGGUGUAACCCUUUCCCUUGACAGAGGCCUGAUUUACUGCGAAUGCUGUCAAUUAAAGAGAAGGAUAAGACAUUUUCCGUUGCUAACAUAAAAUUGCACGGUUUGGCAUGGUUAUAGUGUAUGGGUUGUUUCCAAUAUUUUUGAAAACGCUCUUUAUAGAUUUCAGGAUUGUGCAGGUGUACCUAACAUGUAGUCCAUGCUGUGUUUAUAUUAGUGGGAUAUUACAGAAAACCCCUGCCAUAUCGCGGUUCAUCAUUCACGUCCUCAUCAUGUGACAGAUUUUGUUAUGGGUUUUAGUACACGGACAAGUUUAAAUUUAGAGUUGCACCUUUUCAAUGUGGUACCAUGUUGUGCCGCGACUUGUUGGGCAGCACCGAGGUCGACACGGAGCGUAAUUAAUGGCAAAAAGAAGAGGAUACCCAUGCCCAUUCAGUGUAAUAGAGCACCACAUUUUUCUGCUUCAGUAUUCGUUGUUCCCAUAGAGCAAAGAGAAUAUAUGCCUGUUUAUAUGUCUUGAUGCUCUGUGUGCAAAAGUAACAGUUGUUUGAAGGUUUUAGAAAUUUCUAUCAGCCCGUCCAUGGCGUUACACUGUUAGCAUUAAGCUAGCCGAUUUUCAUUUGACAAAAUUAUAUGGUUUGGUUGAACAUUGUAGUGUUUAAAAAUCCAUCCAUCCAUCCAUUUUCUGAGCCGCUUCUCCUCACUAGGGUUGCGGGCGUGCUGGAGCCUAUCCCAGCAAUCAUCGAGCAGGAGGCGGGGUACACCCUGAACUGGUUGCCAGCCAAUCGCAGGGCACAUACAAACAAACAACCAUUCUCACUCACAUUCACACCAACGGGCAAUUUAGAGUUGUCAAUUAACCUACCAUGCAUGUUUUUGGGAUGUGGGAGGAAACCGGAGUGCCCGUAGAAAACCCACGCAGGCACAGGGAGAACAUGCAAACUCCAUACAGGCAGGGCCGGGGAUUGAAGCCCGGACCUCAGAACUGUGAGGCAGAUACUCUAACCAGUCGGUCACCGUACCGCUGUGUUUAAAUAUACAAUGUUUAAUGAUUUUAUUUUAUGUUUGUUUUACUGUAAAUACAUGGGAGUAACAAAUAAACACCUUGAAGCAAGCA
This is a long non-coding RNA of Phyllopteryx taeniolatus (common seadragon), 2762 nucleotides long. RefSeq lists it as uncharacterized. Lineage: Eukaryota; Metazoa; Chordata; Actinopteri; Syngnathiformes; Syngnathidae. The record is from RefSeq and is a predicted model, not a curated record. The transcript is spliced from 2 exons.